ACGGUUACCUUGUUACGACUUCACCCCAGUCACCGGGCCUGCCUUCGGCAGCUCCCUCCUUUCGGUUGGGCCACUGACUUCGGGCAUUCCCGGCUCCCAUGGUGUGACGGGCGGUGUGUACAAGACCCGGGAACGUAUUCACCGCGGCAUUCUGAUCCGCGAUUACUAGCGAUUCCAGCUUCGUGCAGCCGGGUUGCAGGCUGCAGUCCGAACUGGGACGUUAUUUUUGGGGUUCGCUCCGCCUCGCGGCUUCGCCUCCCUCUGUUACGCCAUUGUAGCACGUGUGUAGCCCAGGCCAUAAGGGGCAUGAUGAUUUGACGUCAUCCCCGCCUUCCUCCGGGUCCUCCCCGGCAGUCCCCCUAGAGUGCCCACCUUUACGCGCUGGCUACUAAAGGCAGGGGUUGCGCUCGUUGCGGGACUUAACCCAACAUCUCACGACACGAGCUGACAACAACCAUGCACCACCUGU
This 469-nucleotide ribosomal RNA is filed under the name uncultured bacterium. RNAcentral describes it as "partial 16S ribosomal RNA". The record is from RNAcentral.